UGGGGAGGACCCCCGCCCGCCGCCGCGCCUGCGCCCCGCGACCCCCGGACAGGCCCCGGCUGGGGGCGCGCGCGCCGCCCGCGGUCGACCUGCCAGUCCCUCCGUCCCGCAGAGCUAUCUCACGCGGCCCCGGACACAGCCUGGCGGCCACGGCCGGCCCCGUCACGCGCGGCAGCCUCGCGCCGGCCCGGCCGUCAGUCGCACACGCACAGCCGGCUGCCCAGCCCACUGUCCCGCACAGGCCCGACCGCAGCAGUUCCCUCAAGCCCGCUUCCGGAGCGCCGCCCGCGCAGCGACCGGGAGGAGAGCCACUCCCUAGGCUCACCCCUGCAAUCUAGCUGCCCCUGUCACAGAACACCGCCCAAACUAAAGACACCUGCGGUCACAGCGGAGCCUCUCUGAUGGAUGUUGAGCCAUGCAGAUCCAGACAGAGCAGGACAACGUACUGCACGUCAGAGAAAAAAAAUUGAGGCAUGGAGAGAUUAAGAGGCAUACUCGUGGACACAUAGCUAAGAGGUGGCAGAGAUGGGAUUCAAACCCAUCCAGAGUCCGUGCUAUGUUGCCUUCCAUGUAUAUAUAUAUUAAUGAUCUACAUAAUCACCACUUAAACUGUAUUGCUUUAAAAAUGUUACAGA
Non-coding RNA from Kogia breviceps (pygmy sperm whale), 635 nucleotides. The record is from RefSeq and is a predicted model, not a curated record. NCBI's taxonomy places the organism in Eukaryota, Metazoa, Chordata, Mammalia, Artiodactyla, Physeteridae.